GGCUUGUGCGCUCAGUUGUCUUUUAGAUUCCACACGGUGCGGUUGUACGAAGCGGAUGGUUAUGCGUGUACCAAAUUUUGAAAAAUUCUUAACACAGCGGUCUGAAACAGAGCAAAAAAAUACAUAGUACAUGAAUAAAUAGAAGAACCUGAAAAGAUAUAAAAUACUUUACGCUUGUAAAAUCACAAGGUGUUUGUGCAUUAUUAUUGUUGCUUGCCUGUUAAGUUGAGAAUUUACAACAAUAGCUAAAUUGAGUAGUAAAGUGGGCGAAUGUCUCGAGCGGUAGAGGAUAAACAAUUGUCAAAGUGGCAACGAUACCAAAACCGUCACAACAACAAAGUGUUUUGUGUAAUGUGAGUGUGUGCCGAAAAAAGCUGAACCGAAAUUAAGUAAUAAAGCGAGAGGCAAUAAAAGGCAAACAGCAGUGAAUAAUUAAAGAAAAAUAUUAAAAAAAAAGAACAAGUAUAACAAUAACAAAGUGUUCAAAAUUGGCUGCUUAGCUGAGU
Long non-coding RNA from Rhagoletis zephyria (snowberry fruit fly), 506 nucleotides. RefSeq lists it as uncharacterized. Lineage: Eukaryota; Metazoa; Arthropoda; Insecta; Diptera; Tephritidae. The record is from RefSeq and is a predicted model, not a curated record.